UACGGAAGGCAGCAGUGGGGAAUAUUGCACAAUGGGCGCAAGCCUGAUGCAGCCAUGCCGCGUGUAUGAAAAAGGCCUUCGGGUUGUAAAGUACUUUCAGUCGUGAGGAAGGUGUUAAGGUUAAUAACCUUAGCAAUUGACGUUAGCGACAGAAGAAGCACCGGCUAACUCCGUGCCAGCAGCCGCGGUAAUACGGAGGGUGCGAGCGUUAAUCGGAAUUACUGGGCGUAAAGGGCACGCAGGCGGUUAAUUAAGUUGGAUGUGAAAUCCCCGGGCUUAACCUGGGAAUGGCAUUCAAGCUGGUUAGCUAGAGUCUUGUAGAGGGGGUAGAAUUCCAUGUGUAGCGGUGAAAUGCGUAGAGAUGUGGAGGAAUACCGGUGGCGAAGGCGGCCCCUGGACAAAGACUGACGCUCAUGUGCGAAAGCGUGGGGAGCGAAACAGGGAUUAGAUACC
Molecule: ribosomal RNA, 453 nt
Filed under: uncultured bacterium
Lineage: Bacteria
Description: bacterial SSU rRNA
Rfam family: Bacterial small subunit ribosomal RNA
Source: RNAcentral